Molecule: ribosomal RNA, 480 nt
Filed under: Bacillus subtilis
Lineage: Bacteria; Bacillati; Bacillota; Bacilli; Caryophanales; Bacillaceae
Description: bacterial SSU rRNA
Rfam family: Bacterial small subunit ribosomal RNA
Source: RNAcentral
CCGAGUUUGAUCCUGGCUCAGGACGAACGCUGGCGGCGUGCCUAAUACAUGCAAGUCGAGCGGACAGAUGGGAGCUUGCUCCCUGAUGUUAGCGGCGGACGGGUGAGUAACACGUGGGUAACCUGCCUGUAAGACUGGGAUAACUCCGGGAAACCGGGGCUCCUACCGGAUGGUUGUUUGAACCGCAUGGUUCAAACAUAAAAGGUGGCUUCGGCUACCACUUACAGAUGGACCCGCGGCGCAUUAGCUAGUUGGUGAGGUAACGGCUCACCAAGGCAACGAUGCGUAGCCGACCUGAGAGGGUGAUCGGCCACACUGGGACUGAGACACUUCCCAGACUCCUACGGGAGGCAGCAGUAGGGAAUCUUCCGCAAUGGACGAAAGUCUGACGGAGCAACGCCGCGUGAGUGUUUAAGGUUUUCGGAUCGUAAAGCUCUGUUGUUAGGGAAGCCCAAGUACCGUUCGAAUAGGGCGGUAUUU